GCCCCUGCACGGCAGUAAGGAGCACAGGUAGUUUUCCAUCCCGUUCAAGGCAGACUAUUUAAACUCUCAGUGACCUGACUUCUGGUUUGGCCUUACACCGGUUUGAGCUGCAUAUGCUUUCCUGAUCUGCUGAGAGGCUACUGCUACACUUCAUUAAGGAAGACGCUGGCUCUCGAGGGAAUCCGUGCAGUAAAAACAGUUCUGCCAGCUGAUGUGAAUUAAGACGUGGGCAUGACAGAUGGGGUCAAAUGCAUUCUUCUGCUCCUGGCAUCCUUUCAUAUUCGGAUGGAAAUUCAAGCAUCCAUACUGUACGCUGCUGCAGUGUGAAGUUUGCUCUUUGAAUAUGCAAUCACCUGUGGGCAUCAAA
Archocentrus centrarchus (flier cichlid) is the source of this 367-nucleotide long non-coding RNA. RefSeq lists it as uncharacterized. The record is from RefSeq and is a predicted model, not a curated record. NCBI's taxonomy places the organism in Eukaryota, Metazoa, Chordata, Actinopteri, Cichliformes, Cichlidae. The transcript has 4 exons.